This 1276-nucleotide ribosomal RNA is filed under the name Monolepta hieroglyphica. RNAcentral's name for it is "16S ribosomal RNA". The record is from RNAcentral. Lineage: Eukaryota; Metazoa; Arthropoda; Insecta; Coleoptera; Chrysomelidae.
UAAAAAUUUAGUUACUUAUUAAAUAAAGAAAAAUAUUAUUUUAUUAUUUUAUAGAAAAAAUAUAAUUUUAUUAUAGUUAAAUAGUAUUGAAAAAGAAAUUUUUAAUUUUAAAAAAGAAAAAUUUAAUUUUUGUACCUUGUGUAUCAGGGUUUAUUAAAUUGAUAAAAAUAUUUUUAUUUCUCGAAUUUAAAAGAUCUAAUAAAUUAUUAUUAUUAUUGUAAAAUAACUAAAAUUUAAUAUUUUAUUAGUAAUGAAAUGUUUUUCGUUUUUAAGUAUAUCUAGUUUUUUAAGAAAUUAAUUUAAUUAAUUUAUUAUAAAUAUAUUUUUAUUUAAAUAAUUUUAUAUUAAUAAUAAAAAAUAUUUUUAGGGAUUAGCUUAAAAUUUGAUUUUUAUUAAAAAUUUAAAAAAUUAUAAAAUUAGGAUUAAAAAUUUUCAAAUUUUAAAGUAUGUUAUUAUUUAUUAUAAUGUAAUAAUUUUUUUAUUUUUUAUAAAUAUUUUAUUAAAAUAUAAAUUUAAAUUUUAAUGGUUUAGAAAUUAUGAUAAAAUUAGUAAAUUAUGAUGUAAAAUUUAAAUAUUUAUUAGAUUUUAUAAAGGAAUUCGGCAAAUUAUUUUUUACCUGUUUAUUAAAAACAUGUCUUUUUGUAAAAAUAUAAAGUCUAACCUGCCCAAUGAAAAUUUAAAUGGCCGCGGUAUAUUAACCGUGCUAAGGUAGCAUAAUCAUUAGUUUUUUAAUUGAAAGCUGGAAUGAAGGGUUGGAUAAAAAAAUAACUGUCUCUAUAAAAUUGAUUGAAUUUUAUUUUUAAGUUAAAAAGCUUAAAUUUUUUUAAAAGACGAGAAGACCCUAUAGAGUUUUAUAUAAAAUAUAAUUAUUUUUUUUAGUAUUUAUUUAAAUAAUUAGAUUUUAUAUUUAAUUGGGGUGAUUAAAAAAUUUAAUAAACUUUUUUUGUAUAAAAAUAUAUUUUUAUAAAUUAUUGAUCCAAAAAUUUUGAUUAUAAGAUAAAAUUACCUUAGGGAUAACAGCGUAAUUUUAUUAGAGAGUUCUUAUUGAUAAUAAAGAUUGCGACCUCGAUGUUGGAUUAAAAUUUAUAAUUGGUGCAAAAGCUAUAUUAUUAAGUCUGUUCGACUUUUAAAAUUUUACAUGAUCUGAGUUUAAACCGGUGUAAGCCAGGUUGGUUUCUAUCUUUAAUAAAUUAAUAUAUUUUAGUACGAAAGGACCAAUUAUAUAAAUAAUAUUUUAAAUUUGAAUAAUAAAUAUUAUUUUGGCAGAUUAGUGCAA